Cydia fagiglandana is the source of this 914-nucleotide long non-coding RNA. RefSeq lists it as uncharacterized. The transcript is spliced from 2 exons. The record is from RefSeq and is a predicted model, not a curated record. Lineage: Eukaryota; Metazoa; Arthropoda; Insecta; Lepidoptera; Tortricidae.
GAUUUAAUGAUAAAACAUAUUUUUUAGGCUCAAGAAAGAGUUCCUUGAUAAAUCAGUUCAGAAUUUUCGAAGGAUUUGUGUCUUCAGGGAUUGGCACCCUACUUUUGUUUUUUGCCUUUUGUUCUCAACAUAUGAGGAGAUCAUUCUGAGGUGACAUGCACUUUUGAUGUGUGGACCCCUCCGGGGACGCACGCUCGCAUGAGCCCUAUUUUGUGAUAAGACCACACAUUCCACAUGGUGGUCAAAAUGGUGGAAGCAGUUCGAGUCCUUCGGUGUGUUCCACUGAAGUUGACUCCUGCUCGAGGGAAGGGAGCGCUCCGCCAGAAGUCCUAACAGCUUCCAGUGCGGUGAGCUAAAUUUCCAAUUGUUUCAUUUCUUCUCUAGCGGCCAUAAAGGGCACCGGCUAAUAUAUCCUUUUCUCGCUUUGCAGGAGCCGGGAUGUUUCUAGAAGCUUUCGAUGCUUCUAGAUGUUUCUAGAUGUUUCUAGAAGCUUUUGAUGUUUCUAGAAGUUUCAAGAUGUUUCGAAUUUGAAGUUUUAAAAUGAUGCUGUGGGAUCUGUCCCACGUCAUCUGCACUGGCCGGCUCCAACCAGGUUAGCAGUCAGCUUCCCGGGGAUAGGCGAGGUCACUCCCCGCUGCUCCAGGUCCGGUAGCAGUUUUUGAGGUCGGUCCGAUGCAUCUUUAAUUUUCAAAUUGCGUCUGCGCUCGGCUACAAAUUUAAAAUGUGAUUUAGAGCAAUAGUUAUUUUAAUUUAAAGUUUUGAAAGUUCUGGUGCAUAAAACUUAGGUAUUUCGAAAUUUAGUCUUUAGUAAUUAAUUAAUUGGUGUAAACCUUAUAACAUGAACCUGUGAAGCGACCCAGCUAUACCACUGAGCUUUUACAUAAUAAUAUUAGGUUAAUAAAGUUUGUUAGAUA